RNAcentral lists this long non-coding RNA (7112 nucleotides) under Lactuca sativa (garden lettuce). RNAcentral's name for it is "long non-coding RNA (LSAT_LNC006239)". The record is from RNAcentral. Lineage: Eukaryota; Viridiplantae; Streptophyta; Magnoliopsida; Asterales; Asteraceae.
GAUAUCCAAUGUCAUCAUUGUCAAUGUCCAUAAAGUUUUAGGAAGUUGAUCUUAGCAAAUAGAUAAGAUCAUUAAGGGUCUUGUCAUAGUCUGUUUCAUAGGUGUCCCAAAGGAACUCACUAUGUGACUUAGAAAGUGAUUGAACCACCAACUUUCUCAAGACUUUGACACCCAACUCUCCCGGCUUGUCAAUAUGUGACUACAUCUCCAAGAUGUGAUCACACCUAGACCUUGCCUUGCCAAUAGGGCUUGAGUGACCUUAAACUUUUCAAGAACUUGUGGGUUAGGGAGAAUAAUUGGAGGAGGUGAAAGAAGUAUGAUUUCCAAAGGACAUCAUCUUCAUUUAGGAAACCUUGUUUCACUAGAUUUGGGAAGAUCAUAGGUGUCUAUUACAGACAUCUUUUGGGAGAUAUUCAAGAUAGUUGAUUUAAAGUCCUUAAUAUGACACCCAAUAUGAAAUAUUAAGGCUAGGACCCAACAAACUAUUUUAUAACUUAGAAGAGGUAUGCCGUAAUCCAAGCUAUAAAAUAUUUGAAGGUAGGUGAAUGACGAUUCACCAAUUUCCACCAAGAUAAACGAAAUGUAUUAUUAGGUUUUAAUUGGUUUUGAAACUCCUAGAUCUUUGAGAUUCAUUGAACUGUUCAAAGGCAUGUUUCAAUCUCGAGUGUGCCCUUCAGGUUUUGUGACUGGGAUGCCGAGGAUCACAAAACAAGGUGUGAAGUAACCAUGCAAAUCACUUGGUACCCUUAAUAAAUUACCCCUCAAUCGAUGUGCCGGUUAACCACACACGCUCCAUCGAUACUAUGAUAAAUAUUAAGUCACCCUUUACCUACCUUGUUAAGUCCAAGUUAGUGUGCCGGUUAACCACACACGCUCCACUAACGACUUAGACAAAGUGUAAAGUGUAAUUUCAUGGAUUAGCACCUUAUUCACAUUUUUCCUAAGUAACUAAGAUUGGGUAUUAUUAAGAGUUUAGUUACUUAGUAUUAUCAUUAAUACUUUUAAUGAAGGGAGAAUUCUAGUCCUGUCAAACCCGUUCGGCUAACGACCCUCCACCAGUCAAGCAAGCGGUGGGUGAGAGUGGACACCCAUUAAGUUGCCAUUUUAUAGGCAACAACCUUAUACCCACCUUAUAGACCGGCUUCGUGAAUGAGGCGUACUAGCGGUAAGACUGACUUUACUCUUAUACAUAUAUAUAUUAUUAACUUAUAAUAUUAUAAAGUAUAAGGGUUGAAUUUUAACUUUUAAAAUUCUAAGGGCUAACUUGGAAUUAAAGUAUUCAUAAGUGAAAACUUUACAAAUUCCAAAACUUGAGGGCAAGUUUUGAAACUAUUCAAAACUAAUUAAUUCCAUAACUUAUGUGUUUAAAGUAGUUUUAAUCCAAAAACUCUUCAAGUUCCAUAACUUGAGGACAAGUUAUGGAAGACUUUAAACUAAUAAAAGAAUUAACUUUUCUUUAUUUUAUAACUUAUGGAAUUAAUUAAGGUUACACUUUUUUUUUUUUUAUUUUAUUUUAUUAAAUGAAGAGACUCUUGGUCCUCCAUAACUUGAGGACAAGUUAUGGAGUCAUAAAACCAUUUAAUUAGAACUAGACUCUUCAUUUUUGUAACCUUUGCCAAUUUUUAUGAGUUUUAUGAUUCUUAAAUGUGACUUUUCAUAUAACUUGAGGACAAGUUACAAAAACACAUUUUAGAAUCAAUUCUUAGAUUAAUUUGGAUUAAAACCAACUAUCACAUAAUUUUAUUCAUUAAUCUAAAUUCACUCAUAAAACAAGGUAACACAAAAAACUUUUGGUGAUCCAUAACUUAUUCUUAAGUUAUGGAAUCCUUUAAAACAUUAACACCAAAUUUUGUAACUCCAAAAAAACUUUGAAUCAAUUUUUUUUUUAAAACCUUUUCAUAUCCAUAACUUAUGGAGGUUUCAAAAAAUAAAACUCUUUAGAUCAAACUUUUAAAACUAAUAAAAUAAUCAUAUUAUUUUAUCUUUUAUUAAAUUUGACCUAAUUCAACUCAUAAAGCAAAUUAUUCAAAUUUUACAAAUAAUUAGUUUUUCACAAGAACAAGUAAUUAUCUUAAAAUUUGACAAACUUCAUGUUUUUUUUUUUUUUUUUUUUCAACUUUGAAAAUAAAAUAUUUGCAUCAAUAUAACAGAAAACAACCCGUGGCUCUGAUACCACUGUUGGGUUUUGAGCAUUCUAACACUUCCUAAGUGUACAUGCAACCCUAAAUACCUUGGAUCUAUGUUUUCUCUAUUAUACAUGCAAAUAAGAACUUCCAAGGUAUUAUCCUAAUCUAGCAUACAAAACAAUAACUAUAGCAAGAUAGAAUACAUACCUCUUUGGUGUAGAAAGUCUUCAUGAAGCUUGAGUGCCUAGUGCCCCAAGUGUGACACCUCAAAUGGAAUCACAAUCAUCAAAACACUUAGAAUGACUUGAGAGAAUUCUACACUCAUCAAAAUCGGCUAGCCCUUUCUUCACUAUCUCUAGUGGCCGAUUUUUCCUCAAUAAUAAGAUGCUUAUAUAGUUACACAAUUAGGGUAAACUCUUAAUUGUCAUGGCUUUCCAUUUCCUUGGAUCCAUGGGUACAAAUACACCAUGGAGCAUCCAUGGACCAUCCUAUGGGUUUUAGCCCAACUUGAUUAUCCAUGGAGCAUUAGCCCACUAUACAAGUAUGGAUGAUUUACACAAUCAACCCAUAUAUUUAAUUAGUCUUCUUUUGAUCACUUAAUUAAUCCUAGAUUAAUUCUUGAUCAAUACUAAUUAAAUAAUCUUAUUAUUCUUAUUAUUAAUAUACUAGAACUUAUAAUAUAUUAAUAACCAUAAGUGUCUUAUUUCUCUCAUUAUAGUCUAUCCAAGUGCAUGAUGGUAUGCAACCCAAAUGGACCAUGCCGGGUCGGGUCAAGUCUUACCAAUUAUAGUUAUGGACUUAGACAUUAAUCCAACAGUCUCCCACUUGGAUAAGUCUAAAACUAUUAUUGCGUAUGACUUCAGGAACCAACUGGCAAUCGUAGCUCUCAAAAGCUUCUGUCGAACUCUGACCUUGUAGAUGAACUCUGACCUUUGUCAAUGACUUGUCCAUUAGAUAAGGGAUCAUAUAUUCCUCCAUUCUAGAUAUCAUAUGGACUGAGACAUGGAUUAUAAUCAUUCUCUCUGUCCAUUUGUUGUUUCCCGAUUUCCGAUUUAUGACGACUGACUAAUUGAACAAAUCAAAUCAGUCCUGGCCCGGCCGAGCACUUCCAUUUGUCAUCAUCAAAUCAUCGAGGGGCCCACAGAUAUCGCUUUUAUCCCGAAGGUAAAAGGAACGGAUAAACUUCGACUCAUAUGGCUUGUUCUACUACUUGUUGAAUCAUACACAAAGGCACGUUUUAUAGCACCGAGUUACCAAAUGCGUUUUCGUGCAAUCAAUGUACUAUCAACUCAUAGUAACAACUCAUAUCUCUAGGUUUGAAGAAUAUAAGAUAUUAUCGUCUCAUGAUCACUCGUGAUAAAAUCCAUGAAGUGAUUCCAAUGAGCGCGGGUUGAAUCCAAUACUCAGAACUUAUGAGCACUCAUGAGUGUUGUAGCCCUUUGUCCAACACCUUAGACCUCUACAAGCCAACCCAUGACAGUCUUAAUUCAUAUCUACUUCCAACAUAUGACCGACUGUGGAUGGUUUGAAUAACUUAGUCAUUCCGGAAGAAUAACCUAGUUUAUUCGGGAAGUCAAAACAUGCAAAGUGAAACACAAUAAUAAUUGAAUCCAAUAUGGUAUCAACCCUUUGAACAUAAAUAAAACACCUUUUAUUUAUCACCAUAUGAUUACACAUUAUUCAUUGUAUACUGUUUCAGCUAUCAACUUUAUUCUUGAAUUUAAAACAAUAGUUGUCCCAUGCUCCAAGCAUGUACACUAUGUUUUCUUAAACACUAGUCAUGCCACACACCAAGUAUGCAUACUAUGUUUGUCUAUGAUCUUUACUUUGUGAACUAGAUCAAUUGAACAUAACUUCAAUGAUUCUCUUUUCACACUCCCAAAUCCUUACUGCAAAUGCAAGAAUUCCAAAUUCAUGCCAUUUACUGAAAUCUGUUAGAUUCUAAACUUAUAUGCAUUGAUCCUCUUGUAAUGAUUAUGCACAAAGUCAGAAAGACUUGACAACAAUCAUUACAGAGUAUUCCAAAGGAGAUCAGCUCCUUGGAAACAUCCUUCUUGCAUUAAGUUUCCUAAUCUUAAACAGAUUGAAAAUUCUAACUUUGAAACAUUUCCAGAUUCCAUUUUGACUAUCACUUCUGAACAAGAGUUGCCUCCUUACAGAUUAUGUCAAUAUGGUCCUUCCAGAAUUAUCACUAUACUUCCAACUGUCCUUGAGCAACCAAUCUUUGGUAAACCUUAGAUUGUCCUCGACAAUUGUUUAAUCCUUUUAGUCAUAUCCAGUUCUAAACCUUUUCCCUUCUUAAUGCCCCAGGCAUUUGGAAAAUUUUAGAACGGAUGAAUAUAGCACAUGUAAUCGAUCCUAUAUCCGAAGCAUAUGGGACACGAUUCAUGAUGUCUUACAUAAAGACUAAACCAGUCUUUUGCUAUAAUAUUUCCAUUUCAAUUUGCCAAGUUCUCAUAAUUCAGAUUAUGAAAAGGGAUGCCGUAAUCAUAAUCGAAUUUUAGAACGCAAAUAAUGGACCCAUAUACAGAAUUUCCUUAUGUUGAGCCAUUCCAACAUGAAAUUCAUAUAUAUCCUUGACUAAAUGAUUAAAACCUCACGAUCUAAGCUUAUAGAUUUGAGAUGAAGUAUAAUUUCCUCUCCCUUAAUUAUAGCAAAACAACUUUUUCCCAAUUGAAACUUUUGUUUUCUAUAAUUAACAUUGCUAACUUGCAAUACUUAUCAUAAUUAUCAUGCUCCCACUAACAUGAUGAUUAUUAGCAUAACACUUAUGCUCCCACUAGCUUUGACAUGUACUCAGAAAUCAGCUGGACUUCUAGAAAUCAAUACUUCAUUGACUUUCUUACCAAAGUUCAGAUUUCUGAUGCUAGAUUGUUUUGAUAAAACUUUAUCAAAAUCAUACACCUUCCCUUAGAUAGCACACUUGUGUAUCUAAACAAUUAUGAAGAGGGAUGCCGUAAUCAUAAUGUUUAGACCUUUUUGCCACUUCUCACAAGUCCAAGUUAGUGUGCCGGUUAACCACACGCGCUCCACUAACGACUUUGAGAAUGCAAAUAUCACAAUUGCUAUCUAGCUAAAAUCUACUUAGUGAAAGUGUUUCCUCACCAUCAUUUUCAUGAAUCGGAGAGAAACCUUAUGACACUUAGAUUUAAUGGUGUAUGUGUUCUUAUCCAUGUGAAUUGUCAAAACCAUAGUCACAAGACAAGGAUAAUGACAAAUCCAAACUCAUAUGGACUGAACUCAAUCUUAAUUUCUUGCCACCUGGCAGCUCAAGGGCCUACCAUUGCUUCCAAGUUGUUGUGCAACAAAUUGAGAACUCUAAGAACUCAUAUGCAAAGCCAACUUUAACUGGAAUGGGCACAGAAUAUGUCAACACGAUAGGUUAUGAACCUCAAGUCGUGUGCUAGUGAAGAACUUCAGGUUUUAUUCUUGAUUAGUUCUUGAGACUUUCAAGACCUUUAAGACUCCCACUGUCCUCUUGACAUAUAAGACUCCCUUGUCAAACAUCCAAGAGAUAGUGCGGAUUCUAAUCAAGAAAAACACUUUACCCAAUUGGCCUAAGUUGGUCUUUGUUUUAUCCAAAACAUCACAACUUACCAAUUUCAAAUGUACAAGAGUAGAAAACUUUUACUCUUACAUUUGACAAGUGUUUUAAACCUUCUUUAAGACAUGUCACUCAAAUGACAAUCUUGGAGUAUGACUCUAAGACUUGUAUUGGAACGAAGUAUGACUCAUCUUCUUGAUUUAACCAUUUCAACAAUUCAAGUUCCUCUUCUUAGUCAUAAGAAUGCACUAAGAUUUCCUUAGAGAACUAAUUUUGAUAUGGUUUCUUAAUCAUUAAGAUGAUCACAAAACUGAUACUAAAGUACUCUCCCAUCUUUUCAGAUUUGAGAAACUUUUAUCCUUCUGCCUUAUUUGAUUCUUCUUAUCGAUCUUUAGUGGUGGACUUAAUCAGUGCACAAGAAUGUGUACUCGAUCCCUAAGUCCUUUACUUGACUCACACAUCCAUGUGAACAAGUAAUUAGUCUUAAUUUUCCAAAACUUGAAAGUUCUCAUUCAUCAUGCUAUACAACUUGCAUGAUUCCAAGUUCCGGUCCAAUUGAAACUUGGGUGAUGAGGAUCUUUCCUUAUUUGGUAAAUUUAGACAUUACCACAAAUGAAAGAAUCAAUUUCAUAUUUCCACUCUUGCUAUUAAUGGAAUCAUAUAAGCAACAAUUUUUAAUCAAAUGCCAUUGUAAGGAUAUUUAAAAUAAAUAAAAUCAUCAUUUUUCCUUUUAUUUUAAAAACUUUGCGGAAAAACUAUCCUUACAAUGCAAAAGAGCAUGAAAACUUUGUUGUUAUCUAUUCCUAAGCAAUAUCUCAUAACUCCUAAUAAGUAGCUCAAGAGUCCGAUCUUCAAACUAUGCGAUAGAAAUCCAUCUACGCGAUCAGAUUCAGCAUAUUCUUUCUUUAAGUUUCUUUAUUUUUCUUUGAUUCUUAAAACAUCAACAUGUGACCCAGUCACAUCAUGUAUCAAGAAUCUCAGAAUAAAAACUUAGCAGAGUUAGAUAGUGGAUUUUACCUGAAGUAGAGUCAAACAUCCUUAGGUAAAAUUAGGCAGCUUCGCAACUAAUGCCCCUUCCUUUGGCAAUGGACCCUUGAUAAUGAGACAAUCUCAGACUUAGCCUCUCUCUUUACCAUUUGGUUAACUGAGUUGACUAUGACCGAUCCCUUUCCAUUAGGAAGAGAGAGCUUUACUGGAUAUCCAAUGUCAUUAUUGUCAAUGUCCAUAAAGUUUUAGGAAGUUGAUCUUAGCAAUAGAUAAGAUCAUUAAGGGUCUUGUCAUAGUCUAUUUCAUAGGAGUCCCAAAGGAGCUCACUAUGUGACUUAGAAAGUGAUUGAACCACCAACUUUCUCAAGACUUUGACACCCAACUCUCCUGGCUUGUCAAUAUGUGACUACAUCUCCAAGAUGUGAUCACACCUAGACCUUGCCUUGCCAAUAGGG